RNAcentral lists this transfer-messenger RNA (368 nucleotides) under Patescibacteria group. RNAcentral describes it as "2-01-FULL-37-20 sp001784115 Standard tmRNA". It matches the Rfam family "transfer-messenger RNA". From Rfam's summary of the family: Bacterial tmRNA, also known as 10Sa RNA or SsrA, is named for its dual tRNA and mRNA-like properties. Its role is to liberate the mRNA from a stalled ribosome. The record is from RNAcentral. RNAcentral also lists the same sequence under 1 other name.
GGGGAUGCAUUGCAUCGACAAGAUUUGUACGUUAAAAACUGCAAGCCGACUUUGAUACUAGUCGCAAAACAGAUUCAAAGAAUACAUGCUAACGAUUAUCGUUAUGCGUUCAAUUUUGCUGGCGUAAGCAAUUACCUUUCAGCUUAAAAGAACUGUCUAUAGAAUCUUUUUUCAACGGGACUUUAUAGGCAUAAACACAGUUGAGAAAAAGAUAAGGAAACGGUUGAUCUUUAUUGUUUUUUAAACCUUAGUUUUAUUCUAUCCUGUCAAUUGGUAAAGAGUAAAAUGAAUUUCAAAAAUUGAAUACGCUUGUAGAAGUUUUUAAUAUAUGGUCUUGGACUCGAGUUCAUUGCUCGACAUCUCCACAA